CUUUCCUGCUCCUCUGAUGCUGCUUAGCCUGCUGUCUUCAUCCAGCUCUGCACCUUGUUAUCCGCUAUGUAAAAGGAUGUCACAGGACUGGAGCAGAUGGGCUCAGGAGCCCGAACACUACCUAUCAUGCCAGAGCUGCCACCUUGAAAAUGGGUCCAGCGGCGUAAUUUUACAGCAAAUCGUUUAUCUGAACUGCAUGUCUGGAGUGAAGCCUUGGGAGCUUUGCACAGUCAUGACGUUCUUUUGUAAAAUCCUGCCAGCCAGCAAAGGGAACCUGUGUUGCAAUAUGUUUCUUGAAAAAGUUGCUGCAGGCUGUGUGGUGUUGCUGAUGGAGCCUGUUGAAAUGUUUAACUUGUAACUCUUGUUGCUCACUCCUGUAGAUCUUCAACAGUAACCUGCUGUCACCACCCAUCUCUGCAUUGCCUCUAGCUAUCUGCAACUGACUGAAACUUUAUGGAAAUCACUCUAAUCAUUCAAAUACAGCAUUGAAAACUAGAGCUAAGUUAUUCAGAGAAUGAUGUUGAAUACAGGGUUCUGUAUGCAGUGUAAUAGAAAUAUGAAGUCUUCUUCUGGGCAAGUUGUUGACGUUAGGGAUUAAUUGGAAAAGCAUUUACUAGAUUUUUGAAAGCUAAAGAUAUUAAGGGCGACUGAAUCAAUGAGUUUAGGUGGGGUUAAAAUGCAGAUUAUCCAUGAUCCAACUGAAUGACAGAACAGGCAGGAGGGGCACUAGUAAAUUCAACCGCACUAAUUAAAAGGCAAGGGAGAGCAAGAGUAGAGGAUAACAGGCUGCUAGCUUGAUGCAUGUAGUAGGGACCGUAUUAUGAUUUAUUUUAAAGGAUGUGAUCACUGUCCAUAAUAAAUGGCGGAAUGGAGCAGAGUCAACAUAGUUUAUGAAAGGGAAGUCAUGUUUGGCAAUUUUCUACAGUCUUCUUGAGGAUGUUACAGGCAGCAUGGGCAGAGGAAAUCUAGUGAAAUUGGUGCAUGUGGAUUUUCAGAAGGCUGCUGAUAAAGUCCAACACGGAGGCUAAUAUCUAAAAUUAGAGUGUUAGGAAUUGGGACAAAUAUACUCGAAGUGAUUGAGAAUUGGUUAACUGAUAGAAAACAGAGAGUAAGAAUUUACAAAUCAUUCUCAGCAUGGCAGAGAUUCCUGGUCUCUGCUAUAGUAAAGGCAUUAUUAAAUUGGAGAGGGUGCAGAAAAGGUUGACCAGGAUGUUACCUGGAUUAGAGUGUUUGAGUUGUAAGGAGAGGCUGGGUAGACUGGGACUUUUUUCACUGGAGUAUCGGAGGUUGACGGGUGAGAGGUCUAUAAAAGCAUGAAAGGCAUGGAUGAAGUGAAUAGCAAAAGGAUUUUCCCCAGGAUGAGGAAUUUCAAGACUGGAGGACAUUGAUAUAAGACGAAAGGAAAAAGAUUUAAAAGGGACCUCAGGAUAACUUUUUCGCACAGGGAUGGAGUGUAUAUGGAAUAAACUUCCAAUUUAAAAGCAAUUUAGGUGAGUAGUUGAGUAAGAAAGAUUUGGAGGGAUAUGGGCCAAUGUGCAGGCAGGUGGGACUAGUUUAGUUUGCGAUUAUGUUCAACAUGGACUGGUUGGACUGAAGUACCUGUUUCUGGGCUGCACGCCUCUUAUGACUGCAAGUUGCCAAUUGGAAAAGUGCCCCGAUGUUGCAGAGGUUCGUACGUCUCGCUGGACAUGUGGAGCGUGUGGUGUCUGGCCAUAGAGUGUGCCCUCUAACACCAGUGACUAAUGCACAAGGCGAAGGUGCAGAGGAGCAGACGGAAUAGUGCCAGACGACUGGAGGAUCGCAAAUGUGGUUCCCCUGUUCAAGAAGGGGAGUAGAGACAACCCUGGAAUAGGCGUCGCCCAACGACAGGGUUUACCAGGUGAUGGCAGGGCUUUUAGCCAGUGAGCCCAAGGGAGGAGAUGUUCCAGAUUAUGGAGAUAACUGCAAUGAAAACCAAUGUUACGGAGGCCCUCACUGGCGAUGGUACAUUAUUGCUCUUUAACAGCACACAAUCAAACUUCUAUCUGAAAUUCACCUUGUGUUAGAAGAUGCCUUUUGUAGGACAUUCUAUUUGGUCUUUGAUUACCCUGAAGAUAUGCUUCUGUAACUGCUAUAUUGCAAUCUACAGUGUACACAGAGGAAGAGUAAGUGAACCAGUGAGAAGAAAGAACCAAUAUUUGACCUGACUAUUAUAGCCAGCAGUUCAGACACUAAGCAUAACAUGGGGGUUAGUACAUAUUGUAAGUGCUGUAAUG
This is a long non-coding RNA of Stegostoma tigrinum, 2255 nucleotides long. RefSeq lists it as uncharacterized. The record is from RefSeq and is a predicted model, not a curated record. The transcript is spliced from 3 exons. Lineage: Eukaryota; Metazoa; Chordata; Chondrichthyes; Orectolobiformes; Stegostomatidae.